GUGCUCGCUUUGGCAGCGCAGUUACUAAAUUGGAAUGAUCUAGAGAUGAUUAGCAUGGCCCUGUGCAAGGAUAACAUACAAAUUUGUGAAGUAUUCCCGGUUUUU
Small nuclear RNA from Arvicola amphibius (Eurasian water vole), 105 nucleotides. Lineage: Eukaryota; Metazoa; Chordata; Mammalia; Rodentia; Cricetidae. The record is from RefSeq and is a predicted model, not a curated record.